UGGGGAAUUUUGGACAAUGGGCGCAAGCCUGAUCAGCCAUGCCGCGUGCAGGAUGAAGGCCUUCGGGUUGUAAACUGCUUUUGUACGGAACGAAAAGGUGCCUUCUAAUAAAGGGCGCUCAUGACGGUACCGUAAGAAUAAGCACCGGCUAACUACGUGCCAGCAGCCGCGGUAAUACGUAGGGUGCGAGCGUUAAUCGGAAUUACUGGGCGUAAAGCGUGCGCAGGCGGUUUUGUAAGACAGAGGUGAAAUCCCCGGGCUCAACCUGGGAACUGCCUUAGUGACUGCAAGGCUGGAGUGCGGAAGAGGGGGAUGGAAUUCCGCGUGUAGCAGUGAAAUGCGUAUAUAUGCGGAGGAACCCCGAUGGCGAAGGCAAUCCCCUGGGCCUGCACUGACGCUCAUGCACGAAAGCGUGGGGAGCAAACA
RNAcentral lists this ribosomal RNA (426 nucleotides) under uncultured bacterium. RNAcentral's name for it is "bacterial SSU rRNA". It matches the Rfam family "Bacterial small subunit ribosomal RNA", at positions 355 to 774 of the family's 1533-position model. The record is from RNAcentral.